GCCGAAGUAGCUCAGUCGGUAGAGCAACUGAUUCGUAAUCAGUAGGUCGGAGGUUCGACUCCUCUCUUCGGCACCA
Molecule: transfer RNA, 76 nt
Filed under: Pseudoxanthomonas suwonensis
Lineage: Bacteria; Pseudomonadati; Pseudomonadota; Gammaproteobacteria; Lysobacterales; Lysobacteraceae
Also listed under: 1 other name
Description: tRNA-Thr
Rfam family: tRNA
About the family: Transfer RNA (tRNA) molecules are approximately 80 nucleotides in length. Their secondary structure includes four short double-helical elements and three loops (D, anti-codon, and T loops).
Source: RNAcentral